This 5050-nucleotide long non-coding RNA is filed under the name Sus scrofa (pig). RNAcentral describes it as "lncRNA (ENSSSCG00000059722.1)". The record is from RNAcentral. Lineage: Eukaryota; Metazoa; Chordata; Mammalia; Artiodactyla; Suidae.
AGCCAUAUCCAUGGCAUAGGGAAGUUCCCAGGCUAGAGGCUGAAUCUGAGCUGUAUUUGUCAGCCUAAACCACAGCCACAGCCAUGCAGGAUCUGAGCCGCAUUAGCAAACUACACCACAGCUAAUGGCAAUGCCAGAUCCCUGACCCACCAAGCAAGGCCAGGGAUCGAAUCCGCAUCCUCAUCAACACUAGUCAGAUUCAUUUCUGCUGCACCACAAUAGGAACUCCCAGGGCAUUUUUUUUUAAUGUUCAGAAAAUUACAUUCAUGGAUAGAAAGGGCACAGGAGAGGGUCUAUUUCAUUUUAAAGAUUGCAGGACACACUGCAAUGAGGGUCCAGGGCCAAGAAGAGAGGGAGGAGGGCAGGAAAGGAAAGCAGUGCCUACAGUGAGGUCUCCUGCAUUCAGCCCUGCCAUCUGCCAGGAGCUGGUUCUGAUGCCACUAGGCUCUGGCUUCCAGCCAAAGCUGCACUUACUUGAUGCUGUGCAGCUUCCUUGUGACUCUCACUGCAAAGUCUACUUCCCAAUUUCUAGUUGGUAGGAGAGCUGCAUCCUGAGAAAGCACAUAUAGCAAUCCUUAUACAAUUAUUUAUACUCACACCUUCAGCCAUCAUCUUCAUGGACCAAGGACUAGGGCUCCAUGAGCAAUGGGGGGACUUAAGGAUUUUAAAUCAGGGGAAUGAUGUGUUUCGAGAUAUACUUUCUAGGUGUUCCCAUUGUGGCUUAGCGGUAGAGAAUCUGACUAGGAUUCAUGAGGAUGCGGGUUUGAAUCAGUGGUUAAGGAUCCAGGAUUGCCAUGAGCUGUGGUGUAGGUCACAGAUGUGGCUCGGAUCCUGCAUUUCUGUGGCUGUGGUGUGGGCCAGAAGCUACAACUCUGAUUCAACCCCUAGCCUGGGAACUUCCAUAGGCUGUGGGUGCAGCCCUAAAAAGACAAUAAAUAAAUAAAUAAAUAAAUAAAUAAGAGAUAGAGAAAAAGAAAUGUUCAUUCCAAAUCACUCUGGUCUCAGCAAAAAGAAUGGAUGGAGGGGGAAAGGAGGUUAUUGGAGUCAUCCAGCUAAGAAGUCAUGAGGAGCCUGAAUCGGAUGAGUGGCCAGGAAGGGAGGGGCUAAAAGCUGGUUUGGAAACAGGACAUCACAGGAUUUCCUCAAAAGCAGCUUGAGACCUAUUAGAGUCAAGAACUCCAUGGAGUUCCCGUCGUGGCACAGUGGUUAACGAAUCCGACUAGGAACCAUGAGGUUUCAGGUUCAAUCCCUGCCCUUGCUCAGUUGGUUAACAAUCCGGUUGCCCUGAGCUGUGGUGUAGGGUGCAGACAUGGCUCGAAUCACGCGUUGCUGUGGCUCUGGCGUAGGCUGGUGGCUACAGCUCCGUGUUCGACCCACAUGCCACAAGAGCGGUCCAAGAAAUGGCAAAAAGACCAAAAAAAAAAAAAAAAGGAAAUCCACAUGGUGGAUUGUGACAGCAGUUGGGGAUAACAGAGAAAUGGCACAUAUCUGAAGGCAUCCAGGGGAUGAGGUAUAAGUAUUAUUUUGUGAUGCAUGAGUUUUUUUCCAGGAUGGUGGAGAACAGAGGGGCCAUAAAGAGCAGGCAUGCUGGGCCUGGGGAGACAGGGUUCAAAUCCUAGUUCUACCACUUGUUUGCUGUGAGGCCUUGAGAAAGUCAUGAACUCCCUGGGCCAGAGUUUCCUCAUUUGAAAAGGAGAGAAAGUGGUGACACCUCAUGGGGUUGUGAGGAUUAAUGAGGAAAUACAGGAGGGACACAAAGACUAGGGCCUGCCCUCAGUAAGCAUCAUGCGCAUGCCUCUACCAUCCACAGACACGGGUACACAGACCCAGGUCCUGGCUAGAAAUGCACAGUAAUACUCUACUGUGCCUGCAGUUUACAAAAGUGUGAAACACACACACACACACACACACGGCCCUGCUUCCCCCUUCUGCUUUUCCUAGGUUAGUCAUUGGCCAUGACCACAUCUAGGCACCUGCUAGUCAUGACAGAAUUCUCCCAUCUCCUCACUGUCCAAUCAGUCACUCAGCCCUGAAUGUAUGCAAAUGUCAGAUCCCUGUGUAAUAUACCUGAAACUAACACACUAUGUCAAAUUACAUGAUGUCACUUCUAUGUGAAAUCUAAAAAACAAAAGCUACAAAUGGACUUAAGUACAAGACAGAAAUAGACCCACAGACAUAGCAGAAACACCUAUGGUUACCAAGGGGGAAAGGGGAUGGGGAGGGAUAAAUCAGGAGUUUGGGAUUAGCAGAUACCCUCCACUAUGUAUAAAACAGAUAACCAACAGGGACCUACUUCAUAGCCCAGGGAACUAUACUGAACAAUCUAUACUAAGGUAUAAGGGCAAAAACACUUAAAAUAUAUACAUAAAUACACAGACACACAAAGACACAAAUAACUGAAUCAGUGUGCUAUACACCUGAAACUAACACAACACUGCAAAUCAAUUAUAUUUCAAUAAAAAGUUAUUCCACAUAUAUAUUUCAAUUUUAAAAAUUUGCUCAGCCCCAUUGCCUGUUCUCAAACACAUCCUCUCCUCCUCUGCUCCAUCACCAGUUGUGGAGACAAAACAACACCCCUUUCUACUCACAGCAGCUCCUCACACCUCUAACACUUAGCAAGAAACCAAGUGCUCCACAACCUGGCCAACCUGCUAAGAAAUUCUACAACACUUUCAAAAGCUUUCACUCACAGGGGAUGGAGCCUUAAGAAAAACCUAAAAUUCGGAGUUCCCGUCGUGGCGCAGUGGUUAACGAAUCCGACUAGGAACGAAUGAGGUUGCAGGUUCAGUCCCUGCCCUUGCUCAGUGGGUUAACAAUGAUCCGGCAUUGCUGUGAGCUGUGGUGUAGGUUGCAGAUGCGGCUUGGAUCCCGCGUUGCUGUGGCUCUGGCGUAAGCUGGUGGCUGCAGCUCCGAUUAGGCCCCUAGCCUGGGAACCUCCAUAUGCCGCAGGAACGGCCCAAAGAAAUAGCAAAAAGACCAAAAAAAAAAAAAAAAAAAAAAAAGAAAGAAAAAGAAAAAAGAAAAACCUAAAAUUCCAGGAGACCCCAAGGACCAUUAGAAGGACAGCACAGCAUCCUACAUCCCAGAGAGGACUUCUGACUGUUUGAGGAGCCUGCCUGAGCCCUCGCACACUUGCUCCUCAUCGAGCUCUGAGUGAGGGAUCCCUGGGGAAGGAAGCUUCCAAAAGGCACACCUGGAGCUGUUCAGAAGCAGACAUCCUCUUUGUCAGCCUUGAGAAAGGGGCAAAAAGACUGUGGCAAGGGAUGCCUCAACAUUUGAUUCCACAGUUCUCUCUGGACCUUCUGACUCUCCACUCCCAGGUAGCUGGCGGGGCACCUGAGGCAGGGAAGGGAGCCAAGGCUGAGCACAGCCACAAGGGGGUGGCCACGAACAGCCACCAGGAAUGGUGGCCCUGAGACAAAGACAACAUGGUCACCAGCUGCACAGGUGCCCAAACAGAUACUGCGUCCCGUGGGCAGUGGAUCCUCUGGCCACACGGAAAAGUUAUUCAAGAGACACUGAAAGGAGUUCCUGUCGUGGCUCAGUGGUUAAUGAAUCCGACUAGGAACCAUGAGGUUGCGGGUUCGAUCCCUGGCCUUGCUCAGUGGGUUAAGGAUCUAGUGUUGCCAUGAGCUGUGGUGUAGCUUGCAGAUGCAGAUUGGAUCCCGCAUUGCUGUAGCUCUGGCAUAGGCUGGUGGCUGCAGCUCCAAUUCAGCCCCUAGCCUGGGAACCUUCAUAUGCUGUGGGAGCAACCCAAGAAAAUGGUAAAAAGACAAAAAAAAAAAAAAAGACAGACUCAAGGCCUCUUAAAGAGUUUCACUCAUUCUUUAUUCUUUGCCCCAUUCUUGCCCAUUGCCUGGAGGUGGGUGUCUUAGACCAUCAGUCUUGGGCCCCUGGGAUCAAAUGGAAUGAGCUCUCAAGGCCAUGGUCCCUGAAAGCCUGUGACUCUCAGCUAAGCCUCUCCAGGUGCGGCUGGGGGGACUCCCCAGGGGGAAGGGGCAUGAGACCGCAAAACCGAUGGACAGGACUUUCCCUGCCCUUGUACAGAAUAGAAAACUCUAAGACAGGGCUUAGCAGACGUUCUGGAAAGAACCAGAAAGUACGCAUUUUAGCUAUGUAAGCUAGGGGCUCUCUGUCGAAGCUUCUCAGCCUUGCAGUCCGAGUGCCAAAGCAACCACAGAUAAGGUGUAAAUAAAUGGGAGUAGCUAAAUUCCAAGAAAACUUUAUUUACAAAAAGAGGUGGUGGGCUGGAUUUGUCCUGUACAACUUCUCUAAAAGGUAAACAACCCCAAUUUUUUUAAAAAAGAGACAAUUUAGGCAUUCCUAUCAUGGCUCAGCAGUAACAACCCCAACUAGUAUCUACCAGGAUGCAGGAUAGAUCCCUGACCUUGCUCAGUGGGUUAAGGAUCUGGUGUGGCUGUGAGCUGUUAUGUAGGUGGCAGAGGUGCCUUGGAUCCUGCAUUGCUGUGGCUGUGGCUAUGGCUGGCAGCUGCAGCUCCAAUUCAACCGCUAGCUUGGGAACUUCCAUAUCUGUGGGUGCAGCCCUAAAAAGAUAAAAAGUAAAAAAAAAAUAAAAAUAAAAAAGUAGAUGUUAGAAACUCUAUUUUCAAACAUGGAGUUCUCACUGUGGCUCAGCAGGUUAAGAACCCCAGUAGUAUCCAUGAGGAUGUGGGUUUGAUCCAUGGCCUCACUCAGGAGGUAAAGGAUCCGGCAUUGCUGUGAGCAGUGGUGUAGGUCACAGAGGUGGCUCAGAUCUGGCUUUGCUGUGGCUGUGGUGUAGGCGGGCAAUUGCACCUCCAACUCAAUUCCUAGGUACAGCCCUGAAAAGACAAAAAAUAUACAUACCAGAAAAUCCAAAAAACUGCCACAUAGGACUUGAAGGCUCUAAGCUAUUCCCCCUCCUUGCCUCUGACAGACAGCCUUCUUCUUGGAAGGAGCACCUUGGCUCGAUGUAUCUCACUCAGACUAUACCUCUUUGUUCCCUCAUAUCACUAAUUCCUUUUCCAGCACCCUAAUCAUCAAAUAACCUCACCUCAUACAUCAUUAAGAA